RNAcentral lists this ribosomal RNA (117 nucleotides) under Elusimicrobia bacterium RIFOXYB2_FULL_49_7. The record is from RNAcentral. Lineage: Bacteria; Pseudomonadati; Elusimicrobiota.
UCUGGUGGCAAUAUCGAAGGGGCAACACCCGUUCCCAUUCCGAACACGGCAGUUAAGACCUUCGGAGCUGAUGGUACUGCACGGGCGACUGUGUGGAAGAGUAGGACGCUGCCAGAU